Molecule: ribosomal RNA, 301 nt
Filed under: uncultured bacterium
Lineage: Bacteria
Description: partial 16S ribosomal RNA
Rfam family: Bacterial small subunit ribosomal RNA
Source: RNAcentral
CAGUCGCCACGGUAAUACGUAGGGUGCAAGCGUUAAUCGGAAUUACUGGGCGUAAAGCGUGCGCAGGCGGUUUUGUAAGUCUGUCGUGAAAUCCCCGGGCUCAACCUGGGAAUGGCGAUGGAGACUGCAAGGCUAGAAUCUGGCAGAGGGGGGUAGAAUUCCACGUGUAGCGGUGAAAUGCGUAGAGAUCGGGAGGAACAUCAGUGGCGAAGGCGGCCAUCUGGGACAACACUGACGCUGAGGCACGAAAGCGUGGGGAGCAAACAGGAUUAGAUACCCCGGUAGUCCCUGUCUCUUAUAC